AGACUAACUUGGUUUGGAGAAAAUUGGGAGAUUUUAUUAACUGGUUGAAGCCAGAAAGCCCCAAGGGAAACAAGCAAUAAGAGCCCUCCCUCACUUUGCUACAACAUUACAAGCAUCUUUCAGAAGUGCAGGUCAUCAGCAAUUCAUAGAGAAGUUCUAACCACAAUCAAGCUGUAAGGACACUUGUGAGAAGCUUUUCCAUCCGAGAAACACAAACAGUUCCAUCGAUCUUACUAACACCCUAGAGGGAGCGAAGUGGGAUGAUCUGUCACUACACCUGCAGCACCACGCUCGGAGGACAGCUCCUGCUCGCAGCUUCCAGACUCAGGUAAAAAAAAAAAAAAAAAAAAAAAAAAAAAUUGUGAGCGGGCGCCGUGCAUGCAUUUCAAUACCAGAUGCGCGUCGCAACCUAGCCCCUGUAGAGGCAAUCUGCUGCUGCUGCUGCUGCUAAGUGUCCUUUGGUGGCUGGUUGCAGCUUCAAGGUUUAAGAAAUCCCAUCUUUCAGGAAGCCUGAGGGGAAGGAAGGAAGUACGGGCGAAAUCAUCAGAUUGGCUUCCCAGAUUUGGGGAUCUGAAGCGGGCCCACGUCUUCCGGCCAACUUCCAUUGAACUUCCAGCACUCGAAAGGGACCGAAAUGGAGAGCAAAGAAAAAGCAUAUGCUGGCUUUUUAGCUGAAACAAACCCCAUCACCAGUGAAUCAGAGGAUGCAGAUAAGUGAAAACUGCUAUUAGCCUGAGAAGCAGUGGCAAAGCGAUUACUCUGUAGAAAAACAACAACAACAACAACAACAAAACACCCAGAAGCUUUCAGAGGCCAUUCAGAAGAUAACUAAACCCAGCAAAAAUUCCCUUAACCAGAAGUCAGGAGGAUGCAGCAAUGCCAAUCUGCCAAUAAUGUGUCCAUCUCUCCUUACCCCAUUCAUUCCUACAGUUAUCACCCAUGUGAAACAAUUGGGUUUUUCUUCAAUCCUCAAAUACUGAUAAUGUUCAAAUUGGUCGAGCAAAUCUUACACAUUAAUUGGGACAUUCCUUUUCAACUUUUUGGAAACCAAAAACCUAGAUAUGUUUCUGACUUCCAAAAAAAAAAUGACAUAAUUAUUCUGAUUGUUAAAAUCUGCU
This 1118-nucleotide long non-coding RNA is filed under the name Canis lupus familiaris (dog). RNAcentral describes it as "lncRNA (ENSCAFG00000051065.1)". The record is from RNAcentral. Lineage: Eukaryota; Metazoa; Chordata; Mammalia; Carnivora; Canidae.